UACGGAGGAUGCGAGCGUUAUCCGGAUUUAUUGGGUUUAAAGGGUGCGUAGGCGGGCUUUUAAGUCAGCGGUAAAAAUUCGGGGCUCAACCCCGUCCGGCCGUUGAAACUGGGGGCCUUGAGUGGGCGAGAAGAAGGCGGAAUGCGUGGUGUAGCGGUGAAAUGCAUAGAUAUCGCGCAGAACUCCGAUUGCGAAGGCAGCGUACCGGCGCCAGACUGACGCUGAGGCACGAAAGCGUGGGGAUCGAACAGG
RNAcentral lists this ribosomal RNA (252 nucleotides) under uncultured bacterium. Its description in RNAcentral is "partial 16S ribosomal RNA". It matches the Rfam family "Bacterial small subunit ribosomal RNA", at positions 524 to 776 of the family's 1533-position model. The record is from RNAcentral.